AGAGUUUGAUCCUGGCUCAGGACGAACGCUGACGGUGUGCUUUAGGCAUGCAAGUCGUACGAGAAAGCCCUUCGGGGUGAGUACAGUGGCGAACGGGUGAGUAACACGUGGGCAACCUGCCCCUCGCAGGGGGAUAACCGGAGGAAACUCCGGCUAAUACCCCGUAAGCUUUCAGGGUCGCAUGGCCCUGUAAGGAAAGGUAGCUUCGGCCAUCCGGCGAGGGAUGGGCCCGCGGUGCAUUAGCUAGUUGGUGGGGUAACGGCCCACCAAGGCGACGAUGCGUAGCUGGUCUGAGAGGAUGAUCGGCCACACUGGGACUGAGACACGGCCCAGACUCCUACGGGAGGCAGCAGCCAGGAAUCUUGGGCAAUGGGCGCAAGCCUGACCCAGCAACACCGUGUGGGCGAUGAAGGCCUUCGGGUCGUAAAGCCCUGUUGAUAGGGACGAAGGGUGAAGGGUUAAUAGCCCCUAGCCUGACGGUACCUUUCGAGGAAGCCCCGGCUAACUACGUGCCAGCAGCCGCGGUAAUACGUAGGGGGCGAGCGUUGUCCGGAAUUAUUGGGCGUAAAGAGCGUGUAGGCGGUUCGGUAAGUCUGCCGUGAAAACCUGAGGCUCAACCUCGGGCGUGCGGUGGAUACUGCCGGGCUAGAGGAUGGUAGAGGCGAGUGGAAUUCCCGGUGUAGCGGUGAAAUGCGCAGAUAUCGGGAGGAACACCAGUAGCGAAGGCGGCUCGCUGGGCCGUUCCUGACGCUGAGACGCGAAAGCUAGGGGAGCGAACAGGAUUAGAUACCCCCGUAGUCC
Molecule: ribosomal RNA, 801 nt
Filed under: uncultured Rubrobacter sp.
Lineage: Bacteria; Bacillati; Actinomycetota; Rubrobacteria; Rubrobacterales; Rubrobacteraceae
Description: bacterial SSU rRNA
Rfam family: Bacterial small subunit ribosomal RNA
Source: RNAcentral